GUAUAUGAUUAUGAUAUGACACAGAAUAACAAUACAAUUAAAGCGUAUAUUGUGCAUCCGGAGCAACCGUCCAGAGCGCAUAUGUCCUUAUCUCUCUUUCAUAAAGAGAAUACAAGUGACAGAUUUGUUGUUAAUGAUCCUUCCGCAGGUUCACCUACGGAAA
Molecule: unclassified non-coding RNA, 163 nt
Filed under: uncultured fungus
Lineage: Eukaryota; Fungi
Description: sequence contains ITS1
Source: RNAcentral